CAGACAUGUGCUCUUCCGUCCUGGACCACGCGUCCGUCCAGGUCAACGUGGCCCAGGUGGACAAGGUGACAGGCAAGCUCAACGGCCAGUUUAAAACCUACGCUAUCUGUGGGGCCAUUCACGGGAUGGGGGAGUCAGAUGACUCCCUCCUCUGACUGGCCAAAGCCAAUGGCAUCGUUUCAAAGAACUUCUGACUCUAAAGGAUCACGGAUGUGGAAUAUUUUUCAUUAAUAAAUAGCA
Leopardus geoffroyi (Geoffroy's cat) is the source of this 240-nucleotide long non-coding RNA. RefSeq lists it as uncharacterized. The transcript is spliced from 3 exons. Lineage: Eukaryota; Metazoa; Chordata; Mammalia; Carnivora; Felidae. The record is from RefSeq and is a predicted model, not a curated record.